Molecule: long non-coding RNA, 1793 nt
Organism: Eucalyptus grandis
Lineage: Eukaryota; Viridiplantae; Streptophyta; Magnoliopsida; Myrtales; Myrtaceae
Exons: 2
Source: RefSeq, a predicted model, not a curated record
GUUCUCCAACAGAUUAUAUUCUCUUGAGGCUUCAAGUUGUCCCUUUUAUCCAGUGAGGGUACUCAACUAAUUAAUAUACUAUGUCAAGUAGUAUAUUAUAUGAAUAACUUUUCCCUUUCAACUUUGUGAUUGCAUCGCUUCUUCCUGAUACUUGAAGUCUUACACAUUAGCAAGAAUCCUUAACAUCCUUGGUUAAGUUGAAAAUUAGCUUUGUACCCAUGAUAUGCCCCCCUUUCCAUCUUUGUAGUUUUCCUUGGAUCCUUGGUUUAAUUACACUAAUAUUUUGCUUACAAUGCCCAAUUGGUAAAAGCAUAUACUUAAACCACUGUGAGUAACCGUUUCUUUAGUAGCUAUUCAUUUUGAUAGCUUACCUGGACCACAGGUCCAUAGUGGUACUGUUUUGGGCUUUCUCUUGGUUGCUUAAGUCGAAUUGGACAAAAUUUUAGGAUUCUUUGUUUGUGUUUUUUUCUCUCUCGGUUCCUUGCCAAAUCCGCAAUUGUUGACCAAGAUUGAUCCAAAUGGAGCUUUUCUUUGACUUAGGUGAGUGAGUACGAGUUCUAAUUGUUCCAAAUACAUUGUUGUUUAUGCUGUCUGUUGUUUUUUUUUAUUCUGUCCACCCCACCUUUCUGGUGUUUUUCUUGCUCUUUGGUUAUGCCCUUACAAGAGUGAGUGCCUUUUUGCCUCAUCAAGAUUCCUGUGAAGAGUUUUUGGUUUGUGAUUUGUAUUUUAUUACCCUUCAAUAUUGCAUUUCUUACCUUUACAAAUUGUGGUUCUUCUUCUUACAUGCUCAUCGGAAGAGAUGGAUUAUAUUUUGCGUUGACAACCAAAACAAAUGGUAAAACACCAAAUGAAAAACAAAUGCCAAAAGCGGCAAGGGAGGAAGUGUCUUCUAGGUCAGAUAUGAAUGAAGAUUCAACUAACUCCUAUGAGCAUACUAAUCACAUGAGAAUUGCCACAUGGGGUUAUUAUACAUAUUUCAUGUACAUGUUUGCUUUUAAGACUUACGGGACCUGCUAACCUGUGGCUUCUAACCUGUGAUGGAUGUACAAUAUGCUGAUCAUGUGAUGUUGUUGUGUCAUUGGGUAUAUUGUGCUUGGUUUGGUAGGAAGGAGAGAUGUGUCUUGCAAUUUGGAAAAUGAUGUUACAAGCGUGAAUGCUUGGUGGAGGUACUAUUUAUUGAGUGUGUUUAGAGACUUUAAGCUAAUUCUAGUUUUGUUAUUAAAUGCAUGAAAUCAAAUGUGCAGAGAAAGGAGGUGAAUAAACUUACGUCCUUGCUAAUUGCAUAUUUUGUUGGCCGACAUGAAUGAAUAUGCUUUAGACCAUCCCAAUAGGAAUUAUACCUGCAUUUCUGUUAUUAAAUUUUGGUUGAUAAGGCUUCCCAUGGAAAAAUUGCUUCCCUCACUUGAGCUGUUUUAGACAAAUUUAUCAGCAAAAUAAGGCUGAUGUUAUGAAGCUCAUUGAUUUGCUGCUUUCUUACAGAGUAGCAUGGCCUUUCUAUUAAUGCAAGUAUAGCUUGAUCAGGAGACAAUCCAAAGGCUGAUUUUGUUUAUGGGAGUAUCCAUCCUGAUUCAGAGGUCAAGCAUGAUCAGAGAACCAGCUGGAUAUUUUUGUUGGAAGAAGAGACUUCGUAAGGCGAUCCUACCAUAUCUAUGGUAAUCAUCUAAGUUGGUUGUACCUCUUUUUUCUUUUCUUUUUGAACCAUAUACCAACUUGGUUGCUAAUGUCAUGUUUUGUUUUCUGUUGUAAUCAUCUAGUUCCAAAUGAAGAGAGAUUUGUGGACCUCAUUAAAAGCA